This 730-nucleotide long non-coding RNA is filed under the name Manihot esculenta (cassava). RNAcentral describes it as "long non-coding RNA (MESC_LNC001477)". The record is from RNAcentral. Lineage: Eukaryota; Viridiplantae; Streptophyta; Magnoliopsida; Malpighiales; Euphorbiaceae.
AGGAACUGAAGUGUUCAUUCUCAAACAAGAUGAAACGAAAAAUAGAGAGAGAGACAGCUAUAUAGAAAAUGUAUAAAUAGUAUCAAACCAUUUUUGGAAAAAUUUGUACACUAAAAAACUGAAUACAAGUAAUACAUGAGGAACCAGAGAGAGAGAGAGAUGUAUAAAACAAACACCACCAAGAGUGAGAGCACAGACAGCAAGUCUUGUAUUUUGUUGCAUUCCCAAGUAUCAUUAACCUCCAAGUUUCACAUGAUUUUAUAACUUUAAGCUAUGUCAAGGUUUAGGGUUGGAAAUCUUUGACGUGAUUAGUUUAUACGAUUCAUCACGUAGUUUAGCAAGUUAGGCAUAAACAGAUUCACGUCACAAAAUGGGACUCAUGAAAAUUUUAGGUACAAACAGGUUAACUUGCGCAACCCCAAUUAAUAUGAAUAACCUGUUUAAGAUAUUUUUAUAGACGAAUUAUGAAAUAUAUGAAAUUAUUUGAAACUCAGUGUGUUAUUAUAUAUAAAUAUGAUUCCUUGUACAUCUAUAUUUUCAAAAAUCACUGAUACGAGCAUGAAGAGUAAAGUUCUUCAACAACAAAAUGUGUAAGGAAGCUGUAACACUUUGCAAGAAUACCCAUCAAAAGGUUUCAAAUGGGAAAUCAAGGUGUUUUAAGAAAGAUCCAGUCAGUCAUGAUGACUACUAUCUUUGGAAAGCAAGAAAAUAUGCAAGGAAAGAUGUUCAG